This 2158-nucleotide long non-coding RNA is filed under the name Olea europaea subsp. europaea. The record is from RNAcentral. Lineage: Eukaryota; Viridiplantae; Streptophyta; Magnoliopsida; Lamiales; Oleaceae.
CAACCACGUAAAUCUCUCUCUCUCUCUCAACUCUACCCACCCACGUCCAAAUCGCUGCCUCUCUCUCUCACAUAGAUUCUCAGCCAGCAAGCCGUCUCUCGUCCAUUCAACCGAGCAAUCAGCUUCUCUCACAUCCAUUCAACCGAAGCACGAAGAAGAAAUCGACCGAUCGUGUUUGAAGAAAUCGACGAGACGGUAACUGCAUAGAUUCAGGUUACUCUCACAAUAUUUGAUUUCUAUAUGUGUAAUUCUUAAUUAAACCGAGUACAAAGCGAACACGAAUUUUUUGGAAUUUGUUUUUGUUUUUUUGAUUUUGAGAUUCCAGAAUUUUUCUCCUCUUUAAUGACCCCCAAUUCUAUUUCUGUGAUGGGCUCUGCAAGGUUGAGGUGGAGGUGGAAAGAAAUUGGGUCUGCAAGGUGGAGGUGGAGCUGGACAUAAAUUGGGUUCGGGUUCUACAAGGUGGAGGUGGAGGUGGAAUCUUGCAAUUUUGUUGGCAUAUGUAUCAUUUAAGAUUUCCCAGAGUUAUGAAAUCUUUGUCUUUAUCUAUACUUGCAUUCGAAGACCUUGAAUGAAUUAAGCUUUCAAUGGUUGAGUUUCUUGAUUAAUUUAAAUGUAGUAUGAAUGAUGGGGGCUGUGGAAGUGGAGGCAGUUUGGGAAUAUCAAAAGAAGACAUCCCUGGUAUGAAGUUAUGAGGAAGGAAAUUCACAUGAUUGUUAACACUAAAUAAGCUUUGAUGAGGGUUUACCUAUCAAAUAACCAACGCAUUGCAGAAUGGUAGAUCAAAUCAAAGGAUAGAUCACUAUUAACUCAUUGAUCGCAUUGGGUCUGCUGGGUUUGUAUGGUAGGUUGCUGCUUACUCAUUAAGAAAGUAGCACAAUUUAGAAAACUUAGUUUAUGCUGAUUAAGUUGUUAAACAUGUAGGUUUAGGAUACGGGAAGCAAAGAUGAACCAUUAUUAAAUAGUGAUGCAGAAAGUGAUGAUUGUGAGUUAUAAGAAUAUGUAGUUAAUUCUAUUGGAGAUAUAUCAUUUUUGGUGGUUUUUACUAUAUCAUUUUUGCUUUUUUAAUAUAUGUUUUUUGCUGGUUUUUACUGUAUUACAUUCGAAGAGUAACUGGAAUCCAGUGGUAUUUAUAUCGAUGGUUUUGAGGGUAACAUCAAUUGAAUAGUUCCUCACACAUGUUAGUAGAAUCUCAGAAAUUGGUUGAGAUUUCUUUGCUAGAGUAGUGUUUGGAUUUUCAAUAAGAUAAUUGCCGGUAAGUUCUCACUGUUUGCCUAAUAUAGCACUUGGAUCCUGACUUCAAUUAUGUUGGUAUUAGGGUCAGCAUUUUGACUAUUUUGUAGCAAUUUCAUUUUUUCUGCUGUUUUCUAUCUAUUAGAACCAUUUAUCCUUCAUGUUACUUGCAUUUGAGGCUGCUUUCUUGGGUAUCUUCGUAGGAAAAAGAUUUUCAUAAAAGGAAUCUCUUUUUACUUGUUACCAUAUUUGAUGAAAUUUAAGUAAAAUUUGUCUCAAAUUCAUUACCAAAUUUUCAUUUUUGGACAACACUUCAGAGUUAAAGAUUCUGAUGCACAUUAUAUGUCUGUAGAUGUCUUUUGGUAUAGAUUUUACGCAUUCAACAGGGCAAAAAAUUAAGUGUCCUGGUCAACCACCUCCAAGAUUGAAUCAUCAACUGUUUUAAUUAUUAUUAGGUUUUUCAAAUAGCUAACUGGUUGGUUCGCUUGGGCCAUAUUCUAGCAAAUUCUUUUGAUGAUUUAUUUCAAUUUAAUUACUGGACUGCCAGAACCAAAUGAAAGUUUUGAUCUAGACCAGUACUAAAGGUGGUCUUUUAAAUAGUUAUUUGAUAUUGCCUCUGAUAAUGGCAAUGAAGGUAGUUCCUUUUAGUAUUUGGAGAAAAAAGGGUCUUUUGGGAACUUCAUUUCUCUAGACCUGGCAGCAUUGGUUGUUCGUAAAUUUAGGGAAAUGUUUGAGUUUUCAAUCGCGCCCUCACAUCCUACUAGUAGGAAUUUGUUCUUUAGUCUAGUAAUGCUGGAAUUUGUUCUUUAGUCUAGUAAUGCUGGAAUUUUAUUUAUUCCAAUCUAUCUCUAUGAAAAUUUUUCCUUUAUAUAUCGUAUCUACAAGUGACGUUGUGAUUAAUUAGUUUCAGAAUGUGUUAAUCGUUUAU